AAUCUCACUAACUCAUAGAGUUAAUACCUUCCCAAUACCAAUUCUCUUAAUUGUUUUAGGAACGCAAAAGAGAAAACUAAGAGAUAUUGCGUGAGAAAAUAUGUUCUCUUAUUAGGAGAGAGAGAGAGAGAGAGAGACAAACACAAGGUUAAUAGCGUUAAUUAACUAUAUGCAUAGGGAAGUUUUUCAAACUGUUAUACUAUCAGACAAUAUUACUAAUCCAUUCAUAUUAUAACAUAUGAAUUUCUUGUUAAUACUUUAUGAUGAUAAAAUUAACUCAUAUUAUAAAACGCAAAUGCUAUUAGCACUACCUAAAAUGUGUAUGAUAGGAGCAUAUUUAUGCGACUUAGUCAGCUUGUUUUCUAGCACUUUUAUAGUUAGUUUGUGGUUAUUAUAGUGUUUUAAGCUAUUUUCGUGUAUUUGUAGGUCCAAAUGACAAGAAAAUGCAUUUUGGAGCAUUUUGGAGCAUUUUGGAGCGGUUUUGGGCACUAAAUGGAUAGCACAUGUAUGGGCCAAGAUGGAUAGACGAAUUUGGAGUUCAAAAGGCUAGGAAUCUGAUAAGAAGAUGAUGAAAUUAAAUUCAAGACAUAAAAGAUAAGGAAUAAGCUCAAAAGAGGAAAGAUUAUCCAAAACCUUAUCCAACCUUAUCCAACCUUAUCUUAUCCAAACUAACCUUAUCUUAUCUUAUCAUAUCCUAAUCUUAUCAUGCCUUCAUCCUAGCUGCAAGGGGACCUAAAUAUAUAUUUCUAGAAGCAUUCUCUUCUAGAAAUCCCAAAUCAGCCACAAAACGCAUUGUUUCUAGAAUCCCUACAAAAGUGGUGCUUAUUUCCCUUCUAGAAGGCUUUUGCCUUGCCUUGCCUUGCAAGCAAUUCCCAUUCCCUCCAAAUCAGUGCCGCACCCCUCUAUCCCUUUUCCUUUGUGGAUUCUGUUUUAUUAGGCCUUAUUCCUUGUGGAUUUGGGUUAUACAAAUUCUUUUCUGAAAUUAAUUAGGCCAAACCCUUUCCUUAGUGGAUUUAAACCCCUGUGCCUCACCCUAGGGCCUUAAUUCUCUUAAUGUGCUGAUUCAUAACCCUAAUCUGAUUAACCCUAGGGUUUUGCCUUGCCUAUAUAUAUGUGUAAGCCUAAAUUCGUCACCACCCUUCAUACCAUUCAGAAACACCUUUGCCGCAACCCUAAACACCAUUUUACAUCACAAAACAUCAUUCUACAUCAAGAUACAUCUCUGCCGCACCUUUUGGAGAAGAAGGGGCCGUGCAUUCCAUUGAUGAAUGAGGACCUUGUGCACAAGUCAUCUGCAUCCUUGGGAAUUCUAAGAGUUUUUUCUUCCCUCGUUUUAGUUUCAAUGUUUAUUUCAAUUUGCUUUUCAAUUGCUAUGAACAUGUGUAACUAAAUUCUUAUUAGUUAGUGGUGAAUUCAAAGCCAUGAACAUAUGUUAAUAUGAAUUGAUUUUUUCAGUUAUUGUUUCGUAAAACAUGAAUGUGAUUUACUUAUCUAUUUGAUUGAUAACUUAUUCUUGUGUGUUGAUUAAGGAGGCCUACUUAGUUUGCAUGCAUGAAUCUGAUGCUAAAUUAUAAGGGACUUUCACCUAAUUGUUAGGAACUUAUAAUUAAAAGUAGUGAAGAUUGUUAGUCACAAUCGUGUUAAGUAGAUUCUUAGCAAGAGUAUCAUGCAGUUCAUAGUUAUAAUUGUCUUGUCAAUGCUUAUGAUUUCUAUGGAACUUAAUGAUCUUUGAAUGUAUCUCUAUCAUGCUGUUCAUAUAGGAAACUUGAGAAGAAUGAUUUGGGUUGUUAUAUGCAUUCAUCCAAUUCAAUUAAUCUAGGGAAAUCUAAUAGUUAAUUAGUACAUUCACGAUUAAUUUGGGGCAUUGUCAUUCAUGGUUUAAAGAAACAAUACUGGAAAUCGAUUUAUGUUGCAUAUGUUCAUGUGUGGAGAAUGAUCCUCUAACUAGCCUUUCACCCUUGAAUUCAUCUCAAUUUCAUUUUAGUUUACUUUGUUUUGCAAUUUGUUUAGUUUUAAUUCAAUUUCAUCAGAAACCAAACUCCCUUUUCUAUUUUGUGUUUUUAGGUCAGAAUCUACCCUAAUUAGAUUCUUUAGAGUGUUUUGAGUCAAUAUAGGUUAGAAUUAGUCCAUAAACAUUGGUUGAGUCUUAGUUUAGUCUUAAAUUCGUCCAAUUUAAUCCCUAGUAUCUGUUUUGAGUCUAAUUGUUAGUAUUGUGCUGUUUUGAGUCUUUUAAGUGUGUUUUGAGUUUGUUAAGUCAUAAUCUGUUUUCUUUUAGUAUUUUGAGUCAAUUUGAGUUUUAUUUUCGUCUAAAUCACUUGUUAGGUUUAGAAUUGAGUCAAUUCCAUUUAGUUUUGCAGAUUUGAGUGUUUUAGGUCAGUUUAGAGUCUAUAGAGUCUAUUCUUGUGUUUUUAAGUCUAGUUUAGUGUUUUAGAGUUUAAUUUGAGUAGAUUAGCAGCCCUAGUUAAUCUCCGGUUUAGAAUAAUCCAUACUUACAUCUUUGCUACAAUUGUCAUCAAUAGGGUUUAAUUUGCGUGUUGGAUUAUUUCACAUCAGUGUAUCUCAACCCAAGGUUUCUCGUUCAUAGCUAGUUCCAUCACAACAACUUUGGUUUUCAUUGAAAACAAGUAUCAUAUUUGUGUGUUCCAAAUUAAGCUAUGUUUCCUUCAAGAACCACAAGAAAGUUAAGGCCUAUUUGAUACUUUACUUGAAUCCAACUUUUAAACUAAAAAACAAUUUUCAAGUUUUAGGCCUUAAAAACUUGUUUAGUAGGACUAUUUUAAAAAACUGAACUCAAGACUAACUAAAAAAUAUAGUCUAUUCUCUAAAAACAUUAAAAAAAAAAGAGUUUUUAGAGUUUUUAAACUUAAGUAAAUUGUAGCUAUGAUCCUUAACUUUAACUCAAUUGGAGCAGUGGUCCCUCAACUAAAAAUCCAUUAGGCCAUCUCCAAUCGAAGGGUCCAGAGGGCCAGAGGGCCGAAAAUAGCCCUAAAACCGUCUCCAACCGAGGGCUAGGCCAGAGGGCUCUGGAAUCUGGGAGGGCCCCACGGGAUUGGAGAGGGCUGGCUGCUUUCGGCCAGCCAGCCAGCUCCGGGCUGGCUAUUUUUUUUUUUUAAUGUUUUCCUAUUGCUGUCGGUUAUAACCGACAGCAUUAAAGAGUUUUUUUUUUAAUAGUUCUACUAUUAGUGUCGGUUAUAACCGACACUAAUAGUUUGAAUGUUUUUUAAUAUAACGGCUAGUAGCCGUUGUAUUAUUAGGCCUUUUUUUUUUAAUGAAUUUAAACUUUUUUUUUCCCUUUUUUUUUCCUUUUCAUAUGAAUCAAAUUUUGUUUCAUAUUUUUUUUCAAUUCUACUUUACAAAAUUUUGUUUCAUAUUUUUUUUUAAAUUCUAUUUUUUCCUUAUAACUUCUAUUUUACAAAAUUUGAUUCAUAUUUUUUUUCCUAUAACUUCUAUUUCACAAAAUUUGUUUCAUAAUUUUUUUCAAUUCUAUUUUUUUCCUAGGCCAUUUAU
RNAcentral lists this long non-coding RNA (3507 nucleotides) under Malus domestica (apple). RNAcentral's name for it is "long non-coding RNA (MDOM_LNC014820)". Lineage: Eukaryota; Viridiplantae; Streptophyta; Magnoliopsida; Rosales; Rosaceae. The record is from RNAcentral.